CGGUCCAGCCCGCAUGAAACAAUCUUCCUUCUUUAAACCGUCUUAUGGACGCUGCAAAACCCUAAACCCUAUGUAAUUUUCUAGCAUCAAUGGCUUCUCGCUACAAGUUUUUUGCUAGAGCAACCGUUUCUUCCAUCAAAUCUGCCACGAAAUCAAAGGCAUUUUCAGCUCCAAUCCAGAGUUCAUCAUCGCCACUAGGAGUUCCACGAACCAGUCACUCUUCUUCUUCGACGGUUUCUCGUCGCCGUCUCUUGAACUCAAGGAUACCUGCCCAAUUGGGUUGCACCAUGUCUAUGCUUCCUCUGCACAGUACUGUCUCUGCUGCCAGGCUCACGUCAUGCCUGAGCAUGGAUUCCAGGAGUUGCCGUGCUCUCUCUCAGGAUAUUUCAUUCCUGCAGGCACAUGAGUUCCAUUGCUUGAACGGAAUAAAUUGGGCUUUUACAGACCUGUGAUUAUUCUUCACAGCAUCAUUUUCAAGUAUGAAUGUUUCAGUAACGAUGAUACUGCCUGUCACUCUGUUGAUUGUAUGGCAGCGAUGGUACGUGAACUCGUUUUGCUUCAUGGCGUUUCUGCCACUGAGAAAUAGGUGUGCUCCGUGUAUGAUGCCUUGUACCACACUGAAACUCCCAACCAUACAUUAUUGCUUCACUUUCUUAAAGCUUUUCUCACCCGACAUCUUCAAUUUUUGCAAAACCCAGCUGGUCUUUAAUAGUAGGCUUGCAGAAAUAUCUAGUUCUCCCAAUGUUAUGGGUUCAUGAGACUUAGUCUUUAGUUCUGACUGGUUCUGGCACAAUAUUUAUAGUGGCUUAUUUCUACUUGAAAAUGGAAGUAACUUAUGUGAUAGGAGAACUGAAAUGGAGCAUUUUUUUGGCUUGUUAUACUUCA
Molecule: non-coding RNA, 885 nt
Organism: Amborella trichopoda
Lineage: Eukaryota; Viridiplantae; Streptophyta; Magnoliopsida; Amborellales; Amborellaceae
Source: RefSeq, a predicted model, not a curated record